GAACGUUGGACUGAAGAUUCUCUUUAGCAAAUGCAAAGACUUGGUUCCACUCCGGAUCCGAGUUCUUGUCCAAAUGUCUUGUAACUCCUUUGAAGUUUCCUAUUUUUACUUCCACGUAAGGGUCUAGGCUUCCCGUUAGGUCUCUGUCGGGGAGAUCACGCGCCUUCACGACUCUCACGAAGAGAAACCUCAUCUCUUCGACGAGAUCGUAUGUGCCUACGGGCCUCUGCGUACCACGAACUAUUCGUCCUCCAAUGAUCCGUCCACCUCCGAGGAAAGGGCUCGUCUCUUUCACAGUGAAAUCUGAUGAUGGGCCUGGGCCGUUGUGAAGAAGAUGAAAGAGUUCUAUAUAGAGACAUAUAUAUGUUUGUUUGAAUCCUCACGAAACACGAUUCAGAGCAUAGAGUCUGUCAUGGCCGGAAGUCGCCGGAAAAAGUUGAGCGGAGCCGAUGGAAUGCGGUGUCGGAGCUUAGGGUGCCUCAUGAAGUAGUAACCGGAGAGGAGAGCAAAGAGCUUAAAAGGUGUUAUGUAGAGAACCAUUGCAACGAUGAAACAGAACGUCACAAAUAUUGCGGUAGCGCGUGGAUCACGCCAGCUCAGCAGAGCCUGCACGCGCUCUCCCUGUGCCGCUAUGUCUCCAACCACCGUCUGUAUCUUCCCCGCCACAAUUCUCAGCCGAUCAUACCUGUUAAACAACCGUGUUAGAGGUUCCAGGUUCGAGAGACCAUAGGGACGAAACUAAUAUUACAUUUAUUGUUUCGGGUCGGGAGGAUUACUAGCUUCGGUCCCGAACCUCAUAGUAUUCAAAAAAAUAAAUUAAGUAAAUAACUUGAUGAGUUACCUCAUUUUGACAAUGUCUGGAGCCUUCAUGGUCGGGAAGAUAUCAAACUCUUCGUCGAGCUCAUCAGCAUUCACACUCUCCGCGUAAGACAGUUUGGUAUCCAUAUGAGGAGGAAACCUCGGCCUAAUCCUGUAGUUCCACAACCCAAUCACAGCCAUAUACAGAAACACAGUCGGCAAAAUCAUCUCCGGGAACAUCACAAGCAUCGUGUACAACACAUGCACAAGCCCCGUCGUCACCGGCGUCCUCCAGCUGCAAACUUCUCCCAUCCAUUUCCACACCGACAUCACUCCCGAGAACACCGCGGUGAACCUAAAGAAGUUAGCCUUGCUUCUCCUCAUGCUGAAGAGAUGAGUCUUGGCAUCCGUCAUGUACUCGACAACUUCGCGUCUAAGCGGCGGCUCCGACCGUCCUAAGCGAGCCACGAUUAUGUUGAGAGCCUGGACUCUAAGAAUUUCUUGUAGGUUUACGGAUAAAGGCUGCGUGUAAUGCAUUUUAGGCAAGAGAGGUUUGGUGUAUUUCAUCAGCGUGUUGGAGACGGAUGUGCAGGUGAACCUCACUGCUAAGUGAAGCUCGCCUCUUUUCUUGAGACCAGAUGGGGUUAGAACUAGUAAAGGGUACGCGUUCGUGUAUACGCGGCCCGUCUGAAGAGUAGAGAGUCUGAUACGGACUUUCCCAAUGGUCUGAUCUCUGCCAUUUCCAGAUGAAAAGUGACCGUUGUCGAAUACGCAGAUGGUUAAGACCGUCGCGGGGUCUAAAACCUCCCAUGUGUACUGCUCAUUGUACUUUGGAUUCAAGCUGUUGAUCACAGUUCUCGACCGAACCCACUUGUGACCGUACUUGGCAACAACGUACGUGUCCGAAGUACCUUUCCCGUCUCGGUUUUUAACCGGGUGGAGCCCGUUUGCGUUGAGUAUCCCAAGCUCCAAGACACCGAUCGCUUGUUUCCAGAGCUGUCUCGCCGUUGGCCUUAGAUCGCUGCUGUAGUAAGUAGACUCGUCAAAGACAUGGUAGCCUCCUUCAAGAACCGCAGCCACGUGGAGCCUAGUAGCGAACUUUACUCUCUUGGCUUUGUCCUCAUCCAUAGCGUCUGAGAUCGAGUCUUCGAGAUGAAACCAACGGCUACGGAACGCUCUAUCAUCAUUACGUCUCUCGAUAGCGGAGAGAGGGAUCACAGCUUUGCCUACAGGCUCGUCUCUGUUGGCUGCGGAGUGGUCUUCCACCGAGAGGACCAGGUGUUCCUCAAACGGCUCCGCGACUACGAACAUGAACUCAUUGUCCCAUCUCGGAUGAAAGCUUCUUUGAGCCACUUUAGUCUUUAACAUCUGGUUACCGACCUGGAUUCUCACAAAGGCUUCAGGGAGACGUGACUUGUCGGAGACUAUGAUCACGUCUUGAGCCUCUAUUAUCUUCACCCUUAGGUACCAUAGCCGAGGGGAAUGGUAGACCUUGGACCGGAGGUUAGCGGAGAUAAUGUCGGAGCUGUCUGAAGAUGUUAACGAGUCUGAGAAGACAGCAUCACCGAAGGCUUCAUCAGCUUGAGUACCUUCCCAAACAGCAAGCAUGAUCUCAGCUCUCUUCUUCUCACCUCUCUUGUUCUCAAGUCUAUACCACUCUGGAGCUAAAGGACUAUCCGGAGGGACACGAGAUUGAACCUCAUUGAGAUCAAACCGGACAGUGCCAACGUAAUCAUCUAGGACAAGGUCUUUAUCCUUGACGACUAUUUCGAGAACGUUGGACUGAAGAUUCUCUUUAGCAAAUGCAAAGACUUGGUUCCACUCCGGAUCCGAGUUCUUGUCCAAAUGUCUUGUAACUCCUUUGAAGUUUCCUAUUUUUACUUCCACGUAAGGGUCUAGGCUUCCCGUUAGGUCUCUGUCGGGGAGAUCACGCGCCUUCACGACUCUCACGAAGAGAAACCUCAUCUCUUCGACGAGAUCGUAUGUGCCUACGGGCCUCUGCGUACCACGAACUAUUCGUCCUCCAAUGAUCCGUCCACCUCCGAGGAAAGGGC
Molecule: long non-coding RNA, 2852 nt
Filed under: Brassica napus (rape)
Lineage: Eukaryota; Viridiplantae; Streptophyta; Magnoliopsida; Brassicales; Brassicaceae
Description: long non-coding RNA (BNAP_LNC002444)
Source: RNAcentral